UACGUAGGGUGCAAGCGUUAUCCGGAAUUAUUGGGCGUAAAGAGCUCGUAGGCGGUUUGUCGCGUCUGCUGUGAAAACUGGGGGCUCAACCCCCCAGCCUGCAGUGGGUACGGGCAGACUAGAGUGCGGUAGGGGGAGAUUGGAAUUCCUGGUGUAGCGGUGGAAUGCGCAGAUAUCAGGAGGAACACCGGUGGCGAAGGCGGGUCUCUGGGCAGUAACUGACGCUGAGGAGCGAAAAGCGUGGGGGAGCGAACAGG
RNAcentral lists this ribosomal RNA (257 nucleotides) under uncultured bacterium. RNAcentral describes it as "partial 16S ribosomal RNA". It matches the Rfam family "Bacterial small subunit ribosomal RNA", at positions 524 to 776 of the family's 1533-position model. The record is from RNAcentral.